RNAcentral lists this ribosomal RNA (480 nucleotides) under uncultured bacterium. RNAcentral describes it as "partial 16S ribosomal RNA". It matches the Rfam family "Bacterial small subunit ribosomal RNA", at positions 30 to 507 of the family's 1533-position model. The record is from RNAcentral.
UGAACGCUGGCGGCAUGAUUUACACAUGCAAGUCGAACGGUAACAGGCCGCAAGGUGCUGACGAGUGGCGAACGGGUGAGUAAUGCAUCGGAACGUGCCCAGUCGUGGGGGAUAACUACUCGAAAGAGUAGCUAAUACCGCAUACGAUCUAUGGAUGAAAGCGGGGGACCGUAAGGCCUCGCGCGAUUGGAGCGGCCGAUGUCAGAUUAGGUAGUUGGUGGGGUAAAGGCUCACCAAGCCAACGAUCUGUAGCUGGUCUGAGAGGACGACCAGCCACACUGGGACUGAGACACGGCCCAGACUCCUACGGGAGGCAGCAGUGGGGAAUUUUGGACAAUGGGCGCAAGCCUGAUCCAGCAAUGCCGCGUGCAGGAAGAAGGCCUUCGGGUUGUAAACUGCUUUUGUACGGAACGAAACGGCUCUGGUUAAUACCCGGGGCUAAUGACGGUACCGUAAGAAUAAGCACCGGCUAACUACGUG